Molecule: ribosomal RNA, 253 nt
Filed under: uncultured bacterium
Lineage: Bacteria
Description: partial 16S ribosomal RNA
Rfam family: Bacterial small subunit ribosomal RNA
Source: RNAcentral
UACGGAGGGGGCUAGCGUUGUUCGGAAUCACUGGGCGUAAAGGGUGCGUAGGCGGGUCUUUAAGUCAGGGGUGAAAUCCUGGAGCUCAACUCCAGAACUGCCUUUGAUACUGAAGAUCUUGAGUCCGGGAGAGGUGAGUGGAACUGCGAGUGUAGAGGUGAAAUUCGUAGAUAUUCGCAAGAACACCAGUGGCGAAGGCGGCUCACUGGCCCGGUACUGACGCUGAGGCACGAAAGCUAGGGGAGCAAACAGG